UACGUAGGGUGCAAGCGUUGUCCGGAAUUAUUGGGCGUAAAGAGCUCGUAGGCGGCUUGUCACGUCGACUGUGAAAACCCGGGGCUCAACUCCGGGCCUGCAGUCGAUACGGGCUGGCUUGAGUGCGGUAGGGGAGACUGGAAUUCCCGGUGUAGCGGUGAAAUGCGCAGAUAUCAGGAGGAACACCGGUGGCGAAGGCGGGUCUCUGGGCCGUAACUGACGCUGAGGAGCGAAAGCGUGGGGAGCGAACAGG
Molecule: ribosomal RNA, 253 nt
Filed under: uncultured bacterium
Lineage: Bacteria
Description: partial 16S ribosomal RNA
Rfam family: Bacterial small subunit ribosomal RNA
Source: RNAcentral